Molecule: long non-coding RNA, 516 nt
Organism: Bolinopsis microptera
Lineage: Eukaryota; Metazoa; Ctenophora; Tentaculata; Lobata; Bolinopsidae
Exons: 3
Source: RefSeq, a predicted model, not a curated record
UCUGAAGCUGCAGCGAUGAAGACUCUACUUUUAGAGCAGAAUAUAAUUCUCCGAUGACAUAAUGUUGGAAGAAGAAGCUAACUCUACUGUUCAGAACGCUAUCAAAUGUCGCCAGAUGGUACAAGGGCUUAUGCAAUCCAACACUCUAGUAAAUAUAAUUGUGGUGACCAGCUCAUUUCAUAUGCAACGAUCAAGGUACAUUUUCAGCCGUUUAUUCCAUUCCGAAAGUUUUCAGUUACACUUCGAGGAAUCAGAUAACAAUGUAAAAGAUAGCGUUCUUCAUGAUCUCUUAAAAGUAGAGGAGACAAUGAUAGAUCGUCUCAAAUCUGGGAAACAUAGAAUAUUUGAAGAAGCCCUGGUGAAUGGGUGGGACAGUACGUAACGGGAAAAGACUAUGGACCAGGGUCUUUGUCUUAAUUAAUCGUUACUUAUAGCUUGUUUAGAAUUCAUGCUUCAUUACUUGAGGCAUACUUUCUUCCAAUAAGACAGAAUUGAGAUGGUUUUAUGUUUGACUGU